GAGAGAUGGAGUGAAGUAGAGAGAAUAAACAACGCCGAGGCUCCGCCCACUUUGGAGUCAGGAAAAAGGAGGAUGAGGAGUUCAACUCAAACUGCUUGUUACAUCACAGGUUCUCCUUCAGUGAUGGACAGUUGAGCCACAGCGCUGCACUCUCCCACUUUAUUCCUGACACACAAACACAACAUCAGAAAUGUUUCAGGCUGCAGGUGUAAAACUUUGAGACCUGAUGAGCAGCGAGACGACGUCCUCCUUCUGCAGCAGUUCGUAGUCUCCUCCAGAGCUCAGCGCUCGGUUCUG
Xiphophorus couchianus (Monterrey platyfish) is the source of this 297-nucleotide long non-coding RNA. RefSeq lists it as uncharacterized. NCBI's taxonomy places the organism in Eukaryota, Metazoa, Chordata, Actinopteri, Cyprinodontiformes, Poeciliidae. The record is from RefSeq and is a predicted model, not a curated record. The transcript is spliced from 3 exons.